GCGAAGGCCUCACUAUCGGCGUCCGCUCUCCGGCGCCAUUUCUGUAGAGGGGAACGGCAGUGCGGCCUGUAACCAUGGCGCUGUUCCCAGCCUUUGCUGGCAUUGGUGAGGCUCCCAAUAGCGGCAGCGCCAGGAAAGAAUUAGAUUGGCUGAGCAACCCGAGCUUUUGUGUUGGAGCCGUACCCUCUCUGAGCCAACAGCCUGAGGAGGCCACUGCCCUGGUUUCUGAAGGGUCAUCGCCGACGAGGAGUCCCCUGAAAUCAGAGCCUUCAGAUGAAAGUGACGCUAACAGAAAGCCCAGACAAACGAGCAGGAAAAAAAAGAAAGAGAAGAAGAAGAAGAGGAAGCAUCACCACAAGAAAACCAAGAGAAAACGUGGGCAGGCCAGUAGCAGUGGCUCCGAGCCAGAUAGUGAGCCUGAAAAGGACAAAACUUCCAGAAGCACUGGAGACAGUAGAAGGGAAUCUGAGAAGCCAAGGCAAGAAGGUCAUGCUGCUGAUGAUGUUGGGCGUCGCUUUGUUUGGCUUGAGGACGUGCAGGCUCUGACAGGAGAAACCUUCAGAACAGACAAGAAACCGGAUCCGGCCAACUGGGAGUAUAAGUCUCUCUACCGAGGAGACAUAGCAAGAUACAAGAGGAAAGGAGACUCCUGCCUUGGCAUUAACCCUAAGAAGCAGUGUAUAUCCUGGGAGGGGGCUUCCACAGAAAAGAAGCAUUCGCACAAGCAUGUUGAGCGCUAUUUUACGAAGAAGAGCGUGGGACUGAUGAACAUUGACGGAGUUGCCGUUGGCAGCAAAACCGAACCUCCGUCAUCUGAGCCGCUCUCCUUUAUCCCCGUGAAGGGCCCAGAUGAUGCGCUUCCUCCCGUUACGACCUGGUUGAACCCUCUGGGCAUUUACGAUCAGUCCACCACGCAGUGGUUACAAGGACAGGGUCCUUCAGAGCAAGAAUCAAAGCAGCCAGACUCACAGACGGACAGAGAGAGCGCGCUGCUCAAGGCCAAGGUGGAGGAGUUCAACCGGAGAGUGCGCGAGAGUCCUCGCGACGUGCAGCUGUGGAUGGCCUUUGUUGCUUUUCAGGAUGAGGUCAUGAAAAGUCCCGGCCUGUACGCCCUCGAGGAGGGAGAGCCGGAGAAGCGGAAGAGGUCUCGGAAGCUGGUGCUGGACAGGAAACUGGCCAUCCUGGAGCGGGCCAUCGAGAGCAACCAGAGCUCCGUGGAGCUGCAGCUGGCCAAGCUGGAGCUGUGUGCUGAGUUCUGGGAGCCUUCCACGCUGCUCAGGGAGUGGCAGAAGCUGAUAUUCGUGCACCCCAACAAGACGGCCCUGUGGCAGAAGUACCUUUUAUUUUGCCAAAGCCAGUUCAGCACCUUCACCGUCGCCAAGAUCCACGGUCUCUAUGGCAAGUGCUUGAGCACGCUGUCCGCGGUGCUGGACGGCAGCAUCCUGUCGCACCCUGCGCUGCCCGGCACGGAGGAGGCGGUGUUCGCUCUCUUUCUUCAGCACUGCCACUUCCUGCGGCAGGCUGGCCACUCGGAGAAGGCCGUCGCUCUGUUCCAGGCCAUGGUGGACUUCACCUUCUUCAAACCUGACAGCGUGAAAGACCUGCCUACCAAAGGACAGGUGGAGUUCUUUGAGCCCUUCUGGGACAGCGGGGAGCCCCGGGCUGGGGAGAAGGGCGCCCGAGGCUGGAGAGCGUGGAUGCAGCAGCAGGAGCGAGGCGGCUGGGUGGUCAUCAGUCCAGAUGAUGAUGAUGAUGAUGAGCCAGAAGACGAGGACCAGGAAAUACGAGAUAAGAGUCUGCCCAGGUGGCAGAUCUGGCUUGCCGCUGAGCGGUCCCGAGACCAGAGGCACUGGCGGCCGUGGCGCCCUGAUAAGACCAGGAAGCAAACCGAGGAAGACUGUGAGGACCCAGAGAGACAGGUGCUGUUCGAUGACAUCGCACAGUCUCUGAUCCAGCUCUCCAGCCCGGAUCUUCAAUUCCAGCUGGUCACGGCCUUUCUGCAGUUCCUGGGUGUGCCUUGUGGCUUCAGCACCCCGGCCUCCUGCGUCUACUUGGCCGUGGAUGAGGACAGCAUCUUUGAUAACGGGCUUCAUGAUGAAAAGCCACUGACUUUCCUCAACCUGUCCUUCAAUGGCAUCAGCUGUGUUGGCCGCUCAGACCCCCUGGGCUGCCGUCGCUGGACCCGCGGUCACAGUCGAGAGGGCGAGGAGUUCAUCCGCAACAUCUUUCACCUUGUGAUGCCUCUGUUUUCAGGCCAGGAGCGGUCCCAGCUCUGCUUCUCCUGGCUACGGUACGAGAUGGCGAAGGUCAUUUGGUGUCUGCGCGCUAAAAACAAGAAGAGGUUAAAGUCACAAGGAAAGAACUGCAAGAAACUCGCCAAAAAUCUCCUUAAGGAGCCAGAAAACCGCAACGAUUUCUGCCUCUGGAAGCAGUAUGCACACCUGGAGUGGUUGCUCGGCAACACGGAGGACUCCAGGAAGGUGUUUGACUCGGCGCUCAGCCUGGCGGGCGGUGGGGAACUGGGGGGGUCCGAGCUCUGGGAGCUCGGCCUCCUCUACGCGCAGCUGGAGCUGGAGCUGGAGCUCUCGGCUGAGGUGAGGGGGGCCGCCGUGGUCCGGGCCGUGCACGUACUGACCAGACUGACGGAGAAUGGGCCCUAUGGGCCCUAUUCGGGGCCGGUCUCGGCCGUUCAUGUCCUGAAAGCCCGGAAGGCUUACGAGCACGCGCUGCAGGGCUGCCUGGGGCAGAGCUGCGGCUCCUCUCCAGCUCCUGCCGGCCCCACUCACCGCCUCGUGAGCCUGGCCAAGUGCUUCCUGCUCUUCCAGUAUGUAACUGUAGGCAUCGAGGCCGCCGUGCGGCUCUACGAGCAGGUGUGCGCGGGGCUGCGGGGCUCGGUGUGCCCGGGCGGCACUCUCGAGGCCGUCACGCUGCUGCAUACGGGCCUGCUCCGGUUCCACACCAGGGUCCACGUUUACCCCCUGGCUCCCCUGCGCCAGGCACUCUCAGAGGCGAUACAGCUGUACCCAGACAACCAGCUUCUCUGGAGGGCCUACGUACAGGUUCAGAGCAAGUCCCACGCAGCCAGUAAGACCAGAAGGUUCUUCGAUGCUGUUACCAGGUCCGCCAAAGCCUUGGAGCCUUGGUUGUUCGCGAUUGAAGCUGAGAAAAUGAGGAAGAGGCUGGUGGAGACCGUUCAGAGGGUGGAUGGCAGAGAGGUCCAUGCGACAAUUCCUGAGACCGGCUUGGCUCAUCGGGUCAGAGCCCUGUUUGAAAGCGCGUUGCAGAGUGACCAUGGCCGCCUGUGCCCCUUGCUGUGGAGAAUGUAUUUGAACUUUUUGGUUUCCUUGGGAAACAAAGAAAGGAGCAAAGGCGUGUUCUACAAAGCACUUCAGAAUUGUCCUUGGGCAAAGGCGCUGUACCUGGAUGCCGUGGAGCACUUCCCCGAAGAGAUGCAGGAGGUCCUGGACCUGAUGACGGAGAAGGAGCUCCGGGUGCGCCUGCCCCUGGAGGAGCUGGCGCUUCUGCUGGAGGACUAGAGACCAGGAGGGCCUGCCCCGCCGGAGCUGGGAUGCCUGAGACUGGGGACGCCUGGGCGGAGGGGCAGGUGUGAGGGCUUAGCAGCAUGGACUUCUCCCUGAGAGUACCAGUGAAGGAUGGUGAAUGGAAGACAAAAAGGACCACCGAAGCAGAUGGCCUCUGACCCUCCAGAGAUAGCCUCGGCCAGCUGCUGGGUCCCUUCGGUGGCGAGCGGGAUAACCAAGUCAGGCUCUUCCCCUCCUGAUGGCCUGCCACCCUGUGCUCCAGACCAGCCCUUCACGUCGGCCCCCGGCGGUGCAUGUGCACCGAAGGCAGCCCACAGCUGCAGGUCAGGCGGCCUGCCUUCCAGCUCCAGCCCCGCCACCUGCUCAACUCCCAGGGCUUCCUCCGCCCCGGGCUAGUCACCCGCCUCUCUGAGUUUCCUGCACUGUAAGAUGAUGAGCUGCAACAGUUCCAUGCCUCUGGGCUCAGUUCCUCCGGUUCCUCCACUGUGGGCAGCCCUCAGUGACCCCUUCAAAGAACUGUGCUUCCUCUGCAACUUCCACAGCACUGAAUUGCUAAUUCCUGGACUGUACAACUUACUCAGGCCAGCUAGUUGCAUAAUGAACCACAUACAUAUCUGUAUACGCAUCUAUUCAUCCAAUAUUCUGUUCACUCAGUACAGUGGACCAGAGAGUGAACCCAAUCUGAACCGCACAGAACAGCUUUUAAAUCUGUGGUUUCCCACCAUGGCUCUGAUACCUGGCCACACUCCAGAUGAACAGAUCAGAAUUUUCAGGGAUGGGACCAUCAGUAUUUUUUAAAGCUCCAGGGUGAUUCCAACGUAUAGCCAAGCUUAAGCAUCCCAGUUUAUUUUGUUUUAUAAACUUUUUUAAAAAAGAUUUUAUUUAUUUGACAGACAGUGAACACAAGUAGGCAGAGAGGCAGGCAGAGAGAGGGGGAAGCAGGCUCUCCACUGAGCAGAGGGCCUGAUGCGGGGCUCCCUCCCAGGACCCUGAGAUCAUGACCUGAGCCGAAGACAGAGGCUUUAACCCACUGAGCCACCCAGGCGUCCCUUAUAAACUCUUUUUAAUAGAUUCACAUUACUCUUAUGAAUACUUUAAAGUUUUAUGUUUUACAGCACAUAAAUCUAAUAUAUUUGAGUGCAGAGAGGAAUUCUAAGAAACUGUAAACGCAUUCACACUGAGCAGGCAUUUUUGGAAGGGGAGGGUUUCCCUACUGUGCUUAUUUUUGUUGCAAUUCCUACUGUUGUUUUUAAUACAUUAAAUCUGUUAAGUCUACAAUUUUAAGUCUAAGGUAAUUCAGUUUUUUAGCAUCAACUAUACAGAUAAAAAUACUUUUAUGUAAUAUGUAUAUUUCCAUAUUUACUCAGAAAAUGUACAAAAUGUUUAGAAAACCUGGUUUCAAACUAAGGAGUUGUGGCAUCCUUACUCAAGAAUUAAAUAAUUAUAACAAACUAAUGCUACAGCUCAAGAGAUUAGCUCAGUGCCCUGAAGUGUCAAACCCAGAGCAUACAUACCUGUGCCAGGUGGACCAUACAGAAUGACCCCCUUCGGGGGCUUUAUACCCAUCUCUUCAUAAUACUCAGGAUGAGUGAGAGGAAGCUCCACAGACUCCUAGAGAAAACAAAUACUUGGUAAAAAUGAAAUGUUUUCUCACUGAAAUUACCAGAUCCACGAAUUGGCAUUCGGGAUAUAUCUCACUUUCAACAAUAAGCUAAAAUGUCACUUAGUCUUGUUAGAGACAGUGUGCCUGACUUUUGUCUAGCAGCAGGGACAGAUGGAAGAUGACACCUGUCCUUGCUGAGUUCCCCUUCCUACUGCCUCCAGUUUCCCUCUCACUUUCUCAUAGAAGUCAGCCUGGAGCAACCUUCAGGCUCUUCCAGAGCAAAAGGAACUUAAAGUGAAAAUGCACUGUUUUCAAUUAAACCAUAGACGAGAUUUUCUGGCAAGAUUUUCUGAUUGCCGUUAUACCAAUGGACAUAAUGGCUACUUCCCAGCCAUCUCCGAGGUCGCCGGCUGUGACUGGUGACAGCUCUACACGACCCCCCUGCAGAUGAAGCACCUGCAGAUGAGAUGGCUGGCUCCCAGCCAACCUGAACGACCACUUCCCUUCACCCCACUCACACUACCCCACACAUCACUGGAGGUUUCCAGACAGCCACAGCUGAAGUCAACACAAACGGAACCAUUAGGUAUCCACCCAGAUAACCGUGGCACUUUGCAUGUAAGAAGGAUGAAGCUGCAGCUGCCGCAGGAACAAUCACACAACUUGUUGUUCCUAUUACCUAACUCAGGAUUAACAAAUAAAUUACUCCACAACUGGCAAGCUUUGAGUCACACUGGUUUGAUCACUAAGGAAAACACAAAACAUGCACAAUAACUCUACCCUAAAUGAAGUAGUUAAAUAAAUUGAAAAUCUAGAAACCCAGAGGUGAUUCUUAGACUUACCUUAAUUUCCUGGAUUUGGUUGUCCAACCCCCCAAUAUCAGCAUAGGUUUCCUGGGGCGCCUUUUCUACCUUCAUCACUGUGACCAAGGGAUCUGUGUCAUCCAUAAGCACCCCUAUGACGGCAUGCACCUGAGAGAGAACAUUAAGUUAAUGCAGAACCGUGAGGUUCACAUAAUCCACCCACAGCAAAGCACCGCCAACCACAGAGCAGCACCAAUGGACAGAUCUGAGAGGAAGGAGAAAGCACUCCUAGAGGCUUAGAGACCAUCAACUUGCCUUGUGGUUGAGCAGGACGGAGCAGCCCGGUUCCAGCAGGUCCUUGUCUACAAAGGAAAGAAUGCUGACGUAGUGUUCGGAGCCCACAGAUGUAGACACGAUGGCGUGAUUGUCAUCAAUGAUCUCUUCCAAGGUUCCUACUGACAUUGGGGUCCCUCUCAGGUCAUCCACCUUAGACCUUUCCUCCUAUGUAAGAGUACGCCAUGAAGGAAAAGCAGAUUAGACCUAAAAAGCAGACAAGGCUGAUAGUUUUACUAGAUUUACUAAAUUUUACUACAUUUACAAAGCAGGUGAUGCUUUUAAAAGGCAGCCAGUCUAAAUGGGUCAACUACUUGAAUUUCAUUUAUUCACUGAAUUCUAGUUAGUACCAAAACACUUAAUUUGUAAAACAAAAGUUACAGUAAUUUCUGAAUUACCUCUUGCUUUUCUUCUAAAGGCUUCAUUUGUUCCUGAUUUCUAAUGAAUUCUUCCUCCAUGAGAAGAUAGUCUUUAAUUCUCUCUAACUUCAAUAAUUUUAACCGGCACUGAGUAUGGGGUGUCACUGUAAUUACAAAGAAAAGUUUUAUUCUAUUUGGACCUUGACGUUAGCAAUUAAUUAAGUUCAUUCUU
Molecule: RNA transcript, 6872 nt
Organism: Lutra lutra (Eurasian river otter)
Lineage: Eukaryota; Metazoa; Chordata; Mammalia; Carnivora; Mustelidae
Gene: NRDE2
Gene name: NRDE-2, necessary for RNA interference, domain containing
Exons: 15
Source: RefSeq, a predicted model, not a curated record